This 221-nucleotide long non-coding RNA is filed under the name Gallus gallus (chicken). The record is from RNAcentral. Lineage: Eukaryota; Metazoa; Chordata; Aves; Galliformes; Phasianidae.
ACAGAAUCCUCAGCACUUUGCAAACGAGGAAAUGAAAACAAAGGAAGGGAGAAAUUAAAAAGCCCGGCAGAAAGGAUAAAACUGGGGACAUCUGAUCUGGAACGCUACCAUUACGGUGCUCUCGUGACAUUCGUACUGCAGUACUGACUUGGGAGGCUGCCCUACUUCAGUGGCAUCGGUAGUGAUCUGUGUCCUCAGCUGCACCUUUCCAACGUGAUCAC